Molecule: transfer RNA, 73 nt
Filed under: Trichonephila clavata
Lineage: Eukaryota; Metazoa; Arthropoda; Arachnida; Araneae; Nephilidae
Rfam family: tRNA
About the family: Transfer RNA (tRNA) molecules are approximately 80 nucleotides in length. Their secondary structure includes four short double-helical elements and three loops (D, anti-codon, and T loops).
Source: Rfam by way of RNAcentral
GUCCCUGUAGCGCAAUGUAUAGCGCUUUGGCUUUCUAAUCCAAAGGUUGUGGGUUCGAAUCCCACCUGAGAUG